CAAUGGCCAAGAGCAGAGCAGGACAGAGGAGCCUCUUAAAGAAGAAGUUACAGUCAUCUCAGACCCGCCCUGGCACAGUACCUGGACUUCACCCCCACGCCGAUGACCUCCGAUCUCCAGAAAAUUGGCCUGACCUCUGAGUUCUUGGACUUCAUGGUGUGGGACCUUGGGAAAGACUGAGGAGACCAACACUAUAAAGCCAGGUGGGAGAUUGCUGGAGAGCACGGAAAUCUGCUGGACGAGGACACCUGGCUCCAGAACGAUGACAACUGGUGAAACCACACAUGAAAGACAAUCCUGUUGAGUGAACAAUUAUCUUCACCUCAUGAUUCAUAAGUGUGUGUUUGUGUGUCUGUCUAGAAACAUGAAAAUAUGUUAUUUCCUUAAUAAAGAUACAUUUCUUCAUCCC
Long non-coding RNA from Oncorhynchus kisutch (coho salmon), 409 nucleotides. RefSeq lists it as uncharacterized. The record is from RefSeq and is a predicted model, not a curated record. The transcript has 2 exons. NCBI's taxonomy places the organism in Eukaryota, Metazoa, Chordata, Actinopteri, Salmoniformes, Salmonidae.